CGCUACCGCCAUAUCACCCUGCAGCUUAAGACCGGUUACUCACUGAAGCUAAGCAGGGCUGAGCCUGGUCAGUACCUGGAUGGGAGACCACUAGGGAACACUAGGUUGCUGUUGGAA
RNAcentral lists this ribosomal RNA (117 nucleotides) under Danio rerio (zebrafish). The record is from RNAcentral. Lineage: Eukaryota; Metazoa; Chordata; Actinopteri; Cypriniformes; Danionidae.